This 39091-nucleotide long non-coding RNA is filed under the name Triticum aestivum (bread wheat). RNAcentral describes it as "long non-coding RNA (TAES_LNC014252)". The record is from RNAcentral. Lineage: Eukaryota; Viridiplantae; Streptophyta; Magnoliopsida; Poales; Poaceae.
GCAUGUCAUAUUUUAAUGAGUGCUCCCAAUCAUAAAAGAUGUCAAUGAUAAUAUAUCUAUAUGUGAAAACCUCUCUUUCCUUAUUACUUCCUAUUAAUUGCAACAUGACCAAAGCUAUGUCUGCCAACUCCCAACAACUUUUAAUCAUCAUACUCUUUCUAUGUGAAGUCAUUACUCUCAAUAAGAUCAAUAUGAACUUUUUGUUUCUUUUUAUUCUUUUUCUGUUUUCUCUUAUUCACCCAAGAUCAUGGCAAAAUAAUCAAGCCCUUGACUCAACACUAAUCUUUAUUAUAUAUAGCUCACGGACUCGAUUACAAAGAGAGAUCAUAAAGCAAAACUCAAAACUAGAUCAUGCCAUAAACUUUAUUCUACUAGAUCAAGAUACUACUAAUAGGAUCGAACUAAGAAAAAUGGUAAAGAUAGGAGUUGUGAUUGUGAUACGAUACCGGGGCACCUCCCCCAAGCUUGGCAGUUGCUAAGGGGAGUGCCCAUACCCAAGUGAUUAUGUCUCCUUCUUUGUUGUUGGUGUAAUAUUCUUGGCAAUUAUUCCCCUCAGGAUGCGGUUCUCCUCCUCGAGCUUAUUGACUUGCUGCUUGAGGUCCAUUAUUUCCUUACGAAGCUUUCCUGUGACAGCUAAAGCUCCUUGCACCCAAGGGUGUUGCAUAGCUGCGGGAGAACAAGUGACACUCCUCUUCAUAUUUUCAUAAGAAAGAAAUCUAACAUUGGAAGGGAUAACCGAGUUUGGAAUGGCUGAGUUCUGUAGUUCCCCCAAUCCAGCUCGGAAGCGAGAGGUGACUUCUUCAUCCUCCAUGGCAUCUACUCUCAUCAAGUCAGCCUCCAUCUCUUCCUCCGUUGCUGGCCCAAAGUGGUCAGCGUCGCUGUUUGCCCUUGGUUCCGGUGCCGGAUUAGAUACCCGGCUCUCCCCGAUUGACUCUUGAGAAGACAUCCUGUUCUAAUCUGUAGCAGCAACAGCUCGAAAACAAAAACAAAGGAGGUUUGCGUGAUACGGGAGUCAAAACCUUCGGGAGAAUAUAUAAUGAAUUUUUACCGACCAAAAUACGUAUCGUGUAAGAAAACGGAGUCCGGAAGGCACACGAGGUGCUCACGAGGUAGGGGGCGCGCCCAGGGGGUAGGGCGCGCCCACCACCCUCGUGUCCUUCCCGGACUGCUACUUAUUUUUCUAUUUUUCUAUAUAUUCCAAAACGGAGAAAUAUUGCCUUAAAAAUUGUUUUGGAUUCGGUUUACUUACCGUACCACAUACCUAUUCAUUUUCGGCGUCUGAAACGUUUCGGAAAGUGUCCCUUAUGUAUUCCUCCGGGGUUACAGUUUCAAUAAUAUUGGUUUCAACAUUUUUGGGAUUACCAGAGAUAUAGUGUUUAAUUCUUUGACCGUUUACCACCUUCGGAUUUGUGCUUUCAAAGUUGUUGAUUUUUAUGGCACCAGAACGAUAGACCUCCUCGAUAACGUAGGGGCCUUCCCAUUUAGAGAGAAGUUUUCCUACAAAAAAUCUUAAACGAGAGUUGUAUAGCAAUACAUAAUCACCUACAUUAAACUCACGCUUUUGUAUCCUUUUGUCAUGCCAUCUUUUAACUUUUUCUUUAAACAACUUGGCAUUUUCAUAAGCUUGGGUUCUCCAUUCAUCAAGUGAGCUAAUAUCAAAUAACCUCUUCUCACCGGCAAGUUUAAAAUCAUAGUUGAGCUCUUUAAUAGCCCAAUACGCCUUAUGUUCUAGUUCGAGAGGUAAGUGAUAUACGAGAUAGAGUUGGGGUAGCACCAAUUGAGGAGAAGCUUGUCCAACAUCGUCUGAGAUGGUUUGGGCAUAUUCAGCGCAGGCCUCCAGAAGCUCCAGUGCAUAGCGGACGGCUAAAGCGUGCGGAGAAUGUCAAGAGAGGGCGGGGUAGACCGAAUUUGACAUGGGAGGAGUCCGUUAAGAGAGACCUGAAGGAUUGGAGUAUCACCAAAGAGCUAGCUAUGGACAGGGGUGCGUGGAAGCUUGCUAUCCAUGUGCCAGAGCCAUGAGUUGGUUGCGAGAUCUGAUGGGUUUCACCUCUAGCCUACCCCAACUUGUUUGGGACUAAAGGCUUUGUUGUUGUUGUUGUUGUUGUUGUUGACAUACCCAUAGGAUUUUUAUAUGCAGUUCUAUAAGCCCAUAAUGCAUCAUCAAGUUUCUUAGACCAAUUCUUUCUAGACCUAUUAACAGUCUUUUGCAAAAUUAAUUUGAGCUCUCUAUUGCUCAACUCUACUUGACCACUAGACUGUGGGUGAUAAGGAGAUGCAAUUCUAUGAUUAACAUCAUAUUUAGCAAGCAUUUUACGGAAAGCACCAUGAAUAAAGUGUGAACCACCAUCAGUCAUUAAAUAUCUAGGGACUCCAAACCUCGGAAAAAUAACUUCUUUAAGCAUUUUAAUAGAAGUGUUAUGAUCAGCACUACUAGUUGGAAUAGCUUCUACCCACUUAGUAACGUAAUCAACAGCAACUAGAAUAUGUGUGUAUCCAUUAGAGGCAGGAAAAGGUCCCAUAUAAUCAAAGCCCCAAGCAUCAAAUGGUUCAAUAACAAGAGAAUAAUUCAUAGGCAUUUCUUGACGUCUACUAAUAUUACCAAUUCUUUGACAUUCAUCACAAGACAAGACAAACUUACGGGAAUCCUUGAAGAGAGUAGGCCAAUAAAAACCAGAUUGCAAUACCUUAUGUGCAGUCCUAUCUCCAGCGUGGUGUCCUCCAUAAGCCUCGGAAUGACACUUGCGUAGGAUCUGUUCCUAUUCAUGCUCAGGUACACAACGUCUAAUAACACCAUCUACUCCUUUGUAAAGAUGUGGGUCAUCCCAAAAGUAAUGUCUCAAGUCAUAGAAGAACUUUUUCUUUUGCUGGUAUGUGAAGCUAGGUGGUAUAAACUUAGCAACAAUAUAAUUAGCAUAAUCAGCAUACCAUGGAGUGCUACGAGAAGUACUUAUAACAUUUAAUUGUUCAUUAGGAAAGCUAUCAUUAAUAGGUAGUGGGUCAUCAAGAAUAUUUUCUAACCUAGACAAGUUGUCUGCGACGGGGUUCUCAGCUCCCUUUCUAUCAACAAUAUGCAAAUCAAAUUCUUGUAGCAAGAGAACCCAUCUAAUAAGUCUAGGUUUAGCAUCUUUCUUUUCCAUAAGGUAUUUAAUAGCAGCAUGAUCAGUUUGAAUAGUUACUUUAGAAUCAACAAUAUAAGGUAUGAACUUAUCACAAGCAAAUACAACUGCUAAAAGCUCUUUUUCAGUAGUAGCAUAAUUUCUUUGAGCAUUGUCUAGAGUCUUACUAGCAUAAUGAAUAACAUUUAAUUUCUUAUCAACUCUUUGCCCUAGAACAGCACCUACAACAUAAUCACUAGCAUCACACAUAAUUUCAAAGGGUAAAUUCCAAUCAGGUGGCUGAACAACAGGUGCAGAGACUAAUGCUUUCUUAAGUACUUCAAAUGCUUCUACACAGUCAUCAUCAAAGACAAAUGGUAUAUCUUUUUGCAAUAAAUUAGUCAGAGGCUGAGAAAUUUUUGAGAAGUCCUUAAUGAACCUCCUGUAAAAUCCAGCGUGACCAAGGAAACUUCUUAUACCUUUGAUGUCCUUGGGACAUGGCAUCUUUUCAAUAGCAUCAACCUUGGCUUUAUCAACUUCAAUACCUCUUUCAGAAACUUUGUGCCCCAAGACAAUACCUUCAUUAACCAUAAAGUGGCACUUUUCCCAAUUCAAGACAAGAUUAGUUUCUUCACAUCUCUGCAAAACUCGAUCAAGAUUGCUCAAGCAAUCAUCAAAAGAGGAACCAUAGACGGAAAAAUCGUCCAUGAAAACCUUACAAAUCUUUUCACAAAAGUCAGAGAAUAUAGCCAUCACGCAUCUUUGAAAGGUAGCAGGUGCAUUACAUAAACCAAAAGGCAUACGUCUAUAAGCAAAAGUACCAAAAGGGCAUGUAAAAGUAGUCUUUGAUUGAUCUCUAGCCGACACAGGUAUUUGAGAGAAACCAGAAUAACCAUCUAGAAAGCAAUAGUGUGUAUGUUUGCAUAAUCUUUCUAGCAUUUGAUCAAUAAAAGGUAAGGGGUAAUGAUCUUUCUUAGUAGCUUUAUUUAAUUUGCGGAAAUCAAUUACCACCCUAUAACCUGUGAUAAUUCUUUAUGGAAUCAAUUCAUCUUUAUCAUUAGGAACAACAGUAAUACCUCCCUUCUUAGGGACACAAUGGACAGGACUUACCCACUCACUAUCAGCAACGGGAUAGAUUAUACCUGCCUCCAGAAGCUUUAGUAUUUCUUUUCUUACCACUUCUUUCAUUUUAGGAUUCAGACUCGUUGAGGAUCACGAACUGGUUUGGCAUCUGCUUCUAAAUUUAUUUUAUGUUGACAUAGAGUGGGACUAAUGCCCUUAAGAUCAUCAAGAGUAUAUCCAAUAGCAGCACGAUGCUUCUUCAGAGUUUUCAAUAAUCUUUCUUCUUCAUGCUCUCAAAGGUUAGCACUAAUAAUAACAGGAUAUAUCUUCUUUUCAUCAAGAUAAGCAUAUUUAAGAUUAUCAGGCAACGGUUUAAGCUCAAACACGGGAUCACCCUUGGGUGGAGGUGGAUAACCUAAAAUUUCAACAGGCAAAUUGUGUUGCAGAAUAGGUUCCUGUUUAAAGAAUACUUCAUCUAUUUCCCUUCUUUUAUUCAUGAACAUAUCAUUUUCAUGGUCUAGCAGAUAAUGUUCUAAAGGAUCACUAGGAGGUAUGGCAAUAGAAGCAAGACCAAUAAUUUCAUCCUUACUAGGUAAUUCUUCCUCACGAUGUUGUUUACUAAAUUUAGAGAAAUUAAACUCAUGAACCAUAUCAUCCAAGCCAACAGUAACAACAUUCUUUGUGCAAUCUAUGGUAGCAUUAACAGUAUUUAAGAAGGGUCUACCAAAUAUAAUGGGACAAAAGCUAUCUUGUGGGGAACCAAGAACAAGAAAAUCAGCAGGAUAUUUAGUUUUCCCACACAAGACUUCAACAUCUCUAACAAUUCCAAUUGGUGAAAUAGUAUCUCUAUUGGAAAGUUUAAUUGUGACAUCAAUACCUUCUAACUCAGCAAGUGCAAUUUCAUUCUUAAUUUCUUCGUAUAAGUCAAUAGGUAUAACACUAGCACUCGCACCCAUAUCACAUAAGCCAUGAUAACAAUGAUCUCCUAUUUUAACAGAAAUAACAGGCACGCCUACCACAGGUCUAUGUUUAUCUUUCUCACAAGGUUUAGCAAUUCUAGUAGUUUCACCUUCGAACUGAAUAACAUGCCCAUCAAUAUUAUUAGACAAGAUAUCUUUAACAAUAGCAAUAUUAGGUUCUACUUUAACUUGCUCAGGAGGUGUAUAAGUUCUAAUAUUGCUUUUACGAACAACAGUUGAAGCUUUAGCAUGAUCCUUUAUUCUAACAGGGAAAGGUGGUUUCUCAAUAUAAGAAGUAGGAACAAUAGGAUCAUUAUAAGUGACAGUCUUUUCUUCAACUUUAAUAGGUGCAGCUACUUUUACUUCUAUGGGAGGAUGAUAUUUAAACCACUUCUCCUUAGGGAGAUCAACAUAAGUAGCAAAAGAUUCACAGAAAGAAGCUACUAUCUCAGAGUCAAGUCCAUAUUUAGUUCUAAACUUACGAAAAAUAUCGGUGUCCAUAAAAGAUUUGACACAAUCAAACUUAGGUGUCAUACCUGACUCCUUACCUUCGUCAAGGUCCCAAUCUUCAGAGUUGCGUUUAAUUCUAUCUAAUAAAUUCCAUCUGAAUUCAAUAGUCUUCAUCAUAAAAGAGCCAACACAAGAAGUAUCGAGCAUGGUGCGAUUGUGUUCAGAAAGCUGAGCAUAUAAAUUUUGAAUAAUCAUUUCUCUUGAGAGCUCAUGAUUGGGGCAUGAAUAUAACAUUGAUUUAAGCCUCCCCCAAGCUUGAGCGAUGCUUUCUCCUUCGCGAGGGCAGAAAUUAUAUAUAUAAUUCCGAUCACGAUGAACAAGAUGCAUAGGGUAAUACUUUGGAUGAAAUUCCAACUUCAAUCUUUUAUAGUCCCAUGAUCUCAUAUCAUCACAUAGCCUAUACUAUAUCAAUGCGUCUCCCUUCAAAGAUAAAGGGAAGACCUUCUUCUUAGCAACAUCAUCGGGUAUACCUACAAGCUUAAAUAAUCCACAAACUUCAUCCACAUAUAUUAAGUGCUCAUCAGGAUGCUUUGUUCCAUCUCCUGUAAAAGGGUUAGCUAGCAGUUUUUCCAUCAUACCCGAAGGAAAUUCAAAAGGUGUUUCAUUUUCAAUAGGUUCAGUAGGUUGAGGAGCAACUCUAUGCUCUACUAGACGGGGUGAAGAUACCCCAAACAAGCCCCUCAGAGAAUUACUUUCCAUAGUAACAAGUGACAGUAAAUUUCAGCACACUAUAUAAAUUUUUCCUUUCCAAAUUCCACCUACCAAAGGCGCUACACUCCCCGGCAACAGAGCCAGAAAAGAGUCUUGAUGACCCACAAGUAUAGGGGAUCUAUCGUAGUCCUUUCGAUAAGUAAGAGUGUCGAACCCAACGAGCAGCAGAAGGAAAUGAUAAGCGGUUUUCAGCAAGGUAUUCUCUGCAAGUACUGAAAUAAGUGGUAACAGAUAGUUUUGUGAUAAGAUAAAUUGUAACGAGCAACAAGUAACAAAAGUAAAUAAAGUGCAGCAAGGUGGCCCAAUCCUUUUUGUAGCAAAGGACAAGCCGGAACAAACUCUUAUAAUAGGAAAAGCGCUCCCGAGGACACACGGGAAUGUCGUAAAGCUAGUUUUCAUCACGUUCAUAUGAUUCGCGUUUGAUACUUUGAUAAUUUGAUAUGUGGGUGGACCGGUGCUUGGGUGCUGUUCUUACUUGAACAAGCAUCCCACUUAUGAUUAACCUCCAUAGAAAGCAUCCGCAACUACAACAAAAGUAUUAAGGUAAACCUAACCAUAGCAUGAAACAUAUGGAUCCAAAUCAGCCCCUUACGAAGCAACGCAUAAACUAGGGUCUAAGCUUCUGUCACUCUAGCAACCCAUCAUCUACUUAUUACUUCCCAAUGCCUUCCUCUAGGCCCAAAUAAUGGUGAAGUGUUAUGUAGUCGACGUUCACAUAACACCACUAGAGGCUAGACAAUAUACAUCUUAUCAAAAUAUCAAACGAAUACCAAAUUCACAUGACUACUAAUAGCAAGACUUCUCCCUUGUCCUCAGGAACAAACGUAAUUACUCACAAAGCAUAUUCAUGUUCAUAAUCAGAGGGGUAAUAAUAUGCAUAUAGGAUCUGAACAUAUGAUCUUCCACCAAAUAAACCAACUAGCAUCAACUACAAGGAGUAAUCAACACUACUAGCAACCUACUAGCACCAAUCCCGGACUUUGAGACAAGAAUUGGAUACAAGAGAUGAACUAGGGUUUGGAGAUGAGAUGGUGUUGGUGAAGAUGUUGAUGGAGAUUGCCCUCUCCCGAUGAGAGGAGCGUUGGUGAUGAUUUCCCCCUCCCGGAGGGAAGUAUCCCCGGCAGAAAAGCUCUGCCGGAGCUGUAGAUUGGUUCCCCAAGGUUCCGCCUCGUGGCGGCGGAGUCUCGUCCCAAAAAGUUCCUUCCUAUUUUUUUCUCUUCGAAAGACUUCAUAUAGGAGAAGAUGGACGUUGGAGAGCCACCAGGGGCCCACGAGGUAGGGGGCGUACCCUAGGGGGGGCGCCCCCACCCUCAUGAGCAGGGUGUGGGACCCCUGGCCUUCAUCUUUGGCGAGGAUUUCUUUAUUUAUUUUAAGAUGUUCCGUGGAGUUUUAGGACUUUUGGAGUUGCGCAGAAUAGGUCUCUAAUAUUUGCUCCUUUUCCAGCCCAGAAUUCCAGCUGCCGGCAUUCUUCCUCCUUAUGUAAACCUUGUAAAAUAAGAGAGAAUAGCCAUAAGUAUUGUGACAUAAAUAGAAAUAACAGUCCAUAAUUCAAUAAAUAUCAAUAUAAAAGCAUGAUGCAAAAUGGACGUAUCACUCCACAGAGGCAUAGCUUUGCAUUACGCACAGUCACGUUCGUUUCUUUAACCCAGCGGAAUGGGUUGAGACGCCAACACUUACUAUUGAAUUUGUGAGGCACUGAAUGGCCUAUGUGAGGCACGCUGUUUUUAAAAGUUUGUUUCCUUGUUUUCAAAAGCACAGUCACGCUUCUUUCUUGAUGUUUCGUAUAUUACUCGAUAGAGGCGUGGAGUCGAUUAGAUGGGAGAGGUACGUGCAUGGUGUGGUAUUAUAUAGAGUCACGCUUGUCUGUGUUUGCGUUCCAAAUAAUUCCGUUGACUCGAUCAGAUGGAAACCCAGCGGAAAGGCACCAUUUGGUCUUACUCACAGUCACGUCCAUUUCUUUAAUUGCAGAAACCGAGCAGAAAGGGUUCAGGUGUGAUCACUCAUAGUUUACUCGAUGAGUCACGGAAUGGCUUGUUCGAGAGAAGCUGCUGUGGUGUAUUCUUUGCAUGGUGGCGGGUCCCAGGAAGUGACGGCGUGGUAUUCUCAAGAGUCACGUUAUGUUGUUUUCGUCUUCCAAAUGAUUCCGUUGAACCGUUCGCCACGGCAGGCACGUCCGUGCAACGCGAAGAGGCAUGGUUAUGCUUUACCAAGAGUCACAUUCAUGUUUUUAUCGCGGAAACCCAAUGGUUCGACGGGCGUCUCUUCGUAUUCGGGAGUGAACGCCAUGUGGCGCCGCUCCAGAAACCUAAUGGUCCGACGGGCGUCUCCUCCGGUGACGCCGCUCUGGCUCAUCGCCCGAGGCCAGGCUCCGACUAUUUAAGCAGGACGGGGUCUUGAAACCCUAGCCACAUUCAACUCCUCCCUUCGUCCGCCGCCAGGCCUUCCACUCCUGUUGCUCAUCACUAUUCACUGACCAUCUCCGCCAUGGCUGGGCAAAAGGAGACUACUCCAGACAGCUGUGCGCUGUCGCGGGAGGAGAUCCCGGCUCGCGAGGGUUCCUCGUCUGUAAGUUCACCCUGUUUCUGCUUCUCCUUCAUUCGUUUUUUCUUUCUUUCUUUCGGCUAACUCCUAAUUUGAUGUGGGUGUGUUUUGCUGAUACUGAUUUACAGUCAGUUGGAGCUAGGGUUAGUCUGCGUCAUGGUCUUGAACAGGAGUCCCCUUUUGUAGAAUUGGGGAGCAGCUAUGGCUCGAAAGAGAAGGGAAUGGUGAGUGGGGCGGCGACGGCAAGUGCUGUGAGGUCCUUGUUAGUUACUCUCAAUAACCUGGUCGAUGAGAUGAAUACUUUGGUUUCACUUCCAAAGGCUGACAAAACAUACGAGCAGCUACUGGAGAUCACCUACGCGUGGAAGAAGCUUUGGGAGGAAACAAGAGAAGAUUUGGAUAAGGCGAAUGCCAGGAUCGUAGAAAUUACGGCUGAGACGAAAAAUCUCCUUAGAGAGCACAUCCGGUCGUUGCAGGAAUCGGCCGCAGGUGUGAAGCAAUAUGACGAGAAUAUGAAGGCGCUGAAGGAGGAGAUUGAUGAACAGCGCCGGGAGCAAAGCAACAACAAGGUUGGUGGGACUAGGUACACAGCAUCGUCCCUGGCUGUUGUGUGCGUCUGUUGUUGUUAAGCAGUGGAGUGGAGUUUCUUACCUUGUCUUGUGAAAUUUCGUUGUCAGCUACCUUGCAAAUAAAAUGUAUUUUGGUUUCGAGUAUCGUUGUAAUUAGGCGCCAUUACUUAUGAUGCACGGGACAUGAAGUAUCUGCAUCCACGAUUGUGAACCUAGUAUUUGUAAUGACUUGUGUAUUGUUGAAGGCGUGUACGUUCGUGGCUUUUCUGUGUUGCAGUGUUUCGGGUCACAGACACGGGCUUGCAUCCCACAGAUUCAUGGUGUUGUUUUAUAUAGAGUCACGUUCGCCUAUAUUUGUGUUCGAAAUGUUUCCGUCGACUCGUUGAGAAAAAUAGGCACGUACGCAGGUGAAUCCCACAGGGGAAUGGUUUCGUCUUUUGCAUAGUCACGUUCAUACGUUUAUCAUGGAAAGAAAGCAGAAUGGGUUUAGAUGUUAACGCUAGCUGUUUGCUUUGUGAGAUUUGAGAGUCGAGUUGUUUAAAAGCGUAAGUUCCUUGUUUUUAAAAGCCACAGUUCUGUACCGAGUUACGUCGUGCUUCGUUUAUUAGAAGCACAGACGUGAAGUGAAUAUAGCCGCGGAUGAUGACUUGUGCACUGUUGAUGGCGUGGACGUUCGUGGCGGUGUUAAGGGUCACAGACACGGGCGUGAAGCACUAAAAGGCAUGCUACCGUAUAAUAUAGAGUCACUUUCCCGUGUGUUUGAGUUCCGAAUCAUUCUGACGACUCGAUCAGACGGAGAGGCACGGCCGUUCAACGCACAAAGGCACCGUCAGGUUCUUUCUUUAAUUGGGGAGACCCACCGGAAUUGGUUCAGAUGUGAACACCCACUGUUUUCUCUGUGAGGCACCGAAUAGCCUAUUUGAGAGAUGCUGGUGUGGUAUAUUCUUCGCACGGUCAUGGGUCCCAGGAAGGCACGACGUUUUAUUGUGUAGAGUGACGUUAGUUUGUCUUGGUGUUCCAAAUGGCAUGGUUUUAUGUAGAGUCUCGUUCGCCUGUAUUUGUGUUCGAAAUGAUUCCGUUGACUAGUUCAGUACAAGAGGCACGGACAUGAAUGCCAUCAGGGCAUGGUUGGGUCUGUCGGAGAGUCAUGUUUCGUAAGUUUAUUGUUGAAACAAAGCGAAAUGGGUUUAGGUGUUAAUGCUAAAUGUUUACUUUGCGAGUGACCGGUUCGAGAGUCGAGGUGUUUAAAAGCGUAAUUUCCUUGUUUUUAAAAGCCACGGCUCUGUGCUGAGUUUCGUGGCGCUUCUUUUAUUAGGAGGACGGGCGUUAAGUGACUACAUCUACGGUUCUGUAUCAGGUAUUGACAUGACUUGUGCACUGAUGAUGGCGUGGACACUCGUGGCAGUGUUAAGGGUCACAGGCAUGGGCAUGAAGCGCUAAAAGGCAUGCUGCCCUAUAAUAUAGAGUCACGCUCCCGUGUGUUUGUGUUCCUUAUGAUUCCGUCGACUCGAUCAGAAGGAGAGGCACCACCGUUCAGCGCACAAAGGUUCUUUAAUUGGGGAGACCCAGUGGAAUUGGUUCAGUUGUGAAUACCCACUGUUUACUCUGUGAAGCAGGGAAUGGCUUAUUCGAGAGACGCCGGUGUGGUAUAUUCUUCACACGGCUAUGGGUCCCAGGAAGGCACGUCGUCGCAUUGUGUAGAGUGAUGUUAGUUUGUCUUGGUGUUCCAAAUGAUUCCGUUGAAUCGUUCGCACUGAAAGACACAACUAUAUGCGUUACACGGAGUCACAUUCGUGGCGUCCCCUCGUAUUCGGUGUGAAUGCCGUUCCAGAAACCCAAGGGUCCGACGUGCGUUUCCUCCGGUGACGCCGUUCUGAAGAAGGUGGAGGUAUUUAAUAGAGUGAACGCCACGUGUUGGCGCUGCGGAAUCCAAAAGGACCGAUGGCCGUCUCAUCCGUCGGUGAAGUGAACGCCGCGUGUCACCGUUCCGUCGCCCGAGGUCAAGAAGCAGUUAUUUAAGCCGAGCGGCGUCUGCCACCACUAGACAUCAUCCUGCUUCUCCCUCUUUCGCCAGCAAUCUUAGGAAAUCACCCAUCUUCCUCUUUUUGUUUGUGAUGUUCCCCGCCAUGGUUCGGCACAAGAUAACUACUUAUGCGAUGCUUACUCCCGAGCGUCGCUUUUAGUUGCAGGAGGACAUCCGUUCAAGGCGCGCCACCCGGGUCGCAGAGGGCAUGUCUCCGGACUCGCCGGGGCCGGAGGAGAUUGGGGAGGUGGAGGAAGUGGAGGGGGAUCCGUCGGAGCUCAUGCAGGGAGUUGAUCCAGUUGGGGGAGAUGUGGUGGAGGAAGAGGAGGGGGUGACAAGGAUGAGGAAGAUGACGUUGGAAGGCAUGGACGAGGAUGAGGAGGACGACGAGGAAGGCAUGGACGAGGAUGAGGAGGACGCCAAGGAAGGUGUGGACGAGGACGAUGAGGAAGGCGUGGACGAGGAUGACGAGGACAACGAGGAAGGCGUGGACGAGGAUGACGAGGACGUCGAGGAAGGCAUGGACGAGGACGGCGAGGAGGCUGGUUACGAGGAAGACGAGGAUGAGGAGGAGUACGGUGACGAGGAAGACGAGGGGGAGUUCUAUCUCGGUGAAUCGGCCUUGAUGGCGGAGCAGACCGCUAUCCUAGAGUCCAUCCAAGAUGAGGCGUAUGUGGAGUCCAACCGGCGAUUCCUCCGGGAAGAGCAGACGAAGACCGAUGUGCUCUUCGACGAGCUGGAUGCGGAGCAGGAGGCGGAGGCCAACGACGUUGAUGUCAGAAUGGAGAUAGUGGACAUCUCCGACGCCAGGGAGUAGUGUAGUUUUGUUGGUAGAUGUUUGCUUUUCCAUGCUUUUUAUGCUUUUCAUGUUUUCUGUGUCUGUAAAGGUUGAACAAUGUGUAGCAAUCAUCGUUGUCAGAACGGAGACAGUUUCGUUUCCAUGUCAAAAAAUCGUGUUUUGUUCCUAAGUAGUAGUACUACGCCGUCCAAAAUAAAUGUGUCAACUUUGCAGUACAAUUCAUGUUGUACUGGUUAGUACAACGUUGAGCGAAUUAAUUUGUGAUGGAAGGUGUAUGUUUUAUUACAAAUUGCAGUUUUAAGUACCAUAUUUGGGUCGGAAGGCGUAUAUUUUAUUACACUGUAUUGUUUUAUUAUAGAUUGCAGUUUCAAGUACAAAAUAAACGUCUCAACUAGGGCACAUAUUUGAUUCUAGAGAUUUCAGUGUGGUUAGAUUUGAUUAUGGUUUCAACAUUGUUAGAGUCUAGAGAGGCACUCAACAACAUGCAUAAAAAAACCACAGAUGUGCUUUUGAGAAGCACCGUCUUGCAUGGUUUUACCGCAAGAUGGGAUUCGACAUUUAUCCAGGACAUUCGGGGUUUUAUAAGUGCAGAAAGAAUUGUUUUUCACUUAUAUGUUGUGUGGCAGAGGCAUGGCAAUUACUUUUGUGAGAGGCAUGAAUGUGCCGACGGAACGGGCACGAUCACGUAUGAAAUAGGUGCAAGGUGGUCCCUAAUGUCUCCUUAAGGUAUCAUCUAUACACUUUACUGUUACAAGCACGAUCGUCAUUCUUGUCGAGGCACGGAGGUGAAGGAUGGAGCAUUUGCGUCUGCCAUAGUCACGUCCUAUAUUAAGGAGGAAGCAAAUCUUCACGUCUGCGAUACGUCGGAAGCUGGCUGUAAGGCACGCUCCUACCUCUGCGUUUUCGUUGACGUCACGUUUAGUGCCAGUGGGGUGGACGUAAUGCUCGGUUUGCUGAUGUUUUUGUUCUCAGCAACUUUCUUAACAUGUUACGCCCGAGAGAGGUAUGGUGUUACCCGACGUAGAAGCUCACAGUGCACAGAGAACAGGAAAACCGAAAGACGAACUUCGGUAGUGAGGGCGUAGAUGAAGAGCAUGUGUGCGAUAGUUUGACAGUUUCUUUCACAAAUCAUGGAAAUAGGUAGUAAAACUCAAGCACCUGGAGAUUGUUCAAUCUGGGGGACUCAAGCCAGGCGUGGACAGUAGAGAGUCUGCAUUGGAGGUAGCAUGCCGGUAUACAAAGGCGGAGAACUGCGCCCACAUGGCUGGAGAAGAUGGACUCUGGAAGGCAAGAACCAUCACCAGGAACUGUUUAUCCCUGAUGCCAAGUUCCAAUGUAUCGUAUACGAGAAAGCUCCUCGCUGUAGGCAGAGACCCUACUUAUGAUCUCGACAUGAAUUGUUUCUAGGGCGUUAAAAAGAUGAGCGACAGGGAUCUCACGGCAGUCAAGAUUCAGAGGAGCGGUCGGCCAAACAGGACGCCAACGACGAGCGAGCAUCCGAGUGCAGAUGCCCUCCCUAGUGGAGAGACGGGAGAUGACCUCGCCGAGGAUGGCGUCCGGGAGAUCGCUGAUGCGGUUCGGACCAGACUGCUCUUUCUGAUCCUCGGAUCCGGUAGGUGCACCCUCACCGCUUCCAGCGGCUACCGCCAAACCACCAGAGGACGGUGUCGCCGGUGGUGCGAGCUUCGCCCUCUUAGUGCAUGGCGCACCGGAGUGGAUCUCCAUCUCUGUCUCCGUUGUUGUGAUCGCGCUGCCUGCGAGUGCCGCUAUAUGUGGUGUGGAUCAGAAAAGCCCAAGUAAAAGGGUGUGGCUGGGGUUUCGAGGCGCCGUCCGUUCGCCUUAAAUAGCCGGAGCCUGGCCUCGGGCAACGAGCCAGAGCGGCGUCGCUAGAGGGGACGCCCGUCGGACCCUUGGGUUUCGGGAGCGGCGCCACAUGGCAUUCACACCCCAAUACGAGGAGACACCCAUCGAAACAUAACUGGGGACGGGAGGGAAGGGGAGAAGAGUGCAGAGAUCCGUUCAAAAUGAUUCCGUUGACUCUAUCACCAGGAGAAGCACGGUAUGGCGGCUCAGACAGACAUGCUUGCUUUUUACGUGGGGUCACGUUCGUGCGUUUAUAGCGGAAACCCGCGGCAGCCGCCUCAUCCUUGAUUCAGUGUUUCGGGUCACAGCCACGGGCAUGAAGCGUUCAAAGGCAUGGUCGGUGGUAUUACAUAGAGUCACGCUAUCCUGUGACUCUAUCAGACGAAGAUGCAUGUGCGUACAGCCCUCAAAGGCAUGGCGUGCUAUUAUAUAUAGUACAAAGGUUUUCUGGUUGUAUUCCGAAUGAGUCGGUGGGCUCGGUCAAAAGGAGAGGCAAGCACGUUAAGCCCUCGAAGGCAUAGUUUGUUCUUACUCGGAGUCACGUUUGUGCGUUUAUUACGGACACCUAAUAGAUUCGGGCGACUCUCCUUGUUAGAAUUGUUUUUCGUUGUAUUAUUUUAAUUCAAAUGCAAGAAGACGACUUUUUAUCUGUCAGUGUUUUAGGUCACAGGCACGACUGUCAAGCCAACAAAUGCACGAAGGCGACUUUAUAUGUUUAGUAGCGUGACUGUCCUUUAUGCGUGUCAGUGUUUUAGGUCACAGGCAUGGUUGUCAAGCCCACAAAUCGCAUGUCAUGUAAUUAUCCAGAGUCACCUUCGUGUCUCUUUGUGUUCCAAAUGCAUCCGUUGACUUUAUUACCAGGACAUGCACGGUCGGGAUGUCGAGCGAGGCAUGCGUGUGUUUUACGCGGAGCCACGUUUGUGCUUUGAUUGCGGAAACACAAUGUUUCGACGGGCGUCUCCACCUACUCGGGGUGUGAACUCCACGUGGCGCCGCCACGGAAACCCAAGGGUCCGACGGACGUCUCCUCCGGUGACGUCGCUCUGGCUCGUCGCCCGAGGCCAGUCUCCAGCUAUUUAUGGCGGACGGACGGAGUUUCAAAACCCUAGCCACAUACUCUUCCAUCCUCUGCCCACCGCCAGGCCAUUCAUUCCUCUUGGUGCUCUCUAUCCUCACCCUCUCCGCCAUGGCUGGUCAGGAGGAGACUACUGCGGAACCCAGUGUCCAGACACUGCAGGAGAUCCAGGCUGACAAGGGCUCCUCAUCUGUAAGUUUACUCUGCUUCCGCUUCAUUCUUUUUUCUUUCCUUCGGCUACUUGGUUUAGUUGUGAAACGUGAAUAAGCCAGACGGAGUCUCGAAACCCUAGCCACAUCCCCUUCGUCCUUUUGUCCGCCUCCAGGCCAUCCACUCCUUUUGCUGUUCUCUAUCCUGACACUCUCAGCCACGGCUAUGCAGAAGGAGACUCCUCCAGAGCGCCAUGUCCAGCCGCAGGAGAAGAUCUCGCUAGCGAGGGUUCCUCAUCUGUGAGUUCUCUCUGCUUCGCCUUCAUUCAUUUUUUAUUUCUUUCGGCUAAUUGAUUUAGUUGUGAAACAUGGAUCAUUAUGGUGAGCUUCAUCCUAAUGUUGAUGAGGGUGCGUCCUGCCAUCAAUCUGACAUAUUCUCCUUUGACCAGUUGAAGAACCUGUUCAAUGCUGUGGAAGACUUCCUGAAGAUAUCCACGAAGUUGGACGAAGAGAACAAAGCCGUCAUUGCACUUCUGAUGCAUGAGAAGGCGUAGCUCGAACUUCAGCGCGAUAAGCUGAAGCUGCAAUCAUACGUUAUGAAGAAACAUAUCGAGGAACUUCGCGUCGAGCAACCAAAAAAGAAGUAUCGCCGGACUAAGUAGAAAGCAUCGACCCUGAUCCUCGUAUCUGAAGCUGUCACUAAAAGUUUCUUAUGUUGUCAUCCGUUACCUUGUGCCGUCAGUAACUUUGAUAACAAAUGUGUUCCUGGGCAUGUUCAUUCCAAGUUUAUGGGUACGGAUGAACAUUAACGUAAUGGCCAGUUCUAGAGACGUUGUUUUUAAAAGCACGGACGUGAAGUCUCGGCAGCCAAAGUUUUUGAACCAAUUAGAGUCACUAGUCGUCAACCCGUGCACCUGCACGGGCUAGCAAUUAUAAUAUUAGAUAUAACAAAUUUUUGAGGAAAUGGAAAUUUGAAACAAUAAUUUACAUAUGUUGAUGUAGGUUAUUAUUACCACUCAUGCACAUAGGGUCCAAUGAAGUUACAUUGCUUCGACUAUUUUGUGAUUAGAUUGUUUGCAUCCAAUUGUGUCACACGGUAUAAGUAAUAUCGCUAUGUGAUGGCGAACCACGUAAGAUUUAUGGCUGAUAUGUGGAAAUAUGGAUGUCCUACUUUAUCAAGAUUACAUAAAAGUAUAUGUGUUAUGUUGGUAUAAAACAUGGUUACAAACGUAGAAGUUGGUUCAUGUAUCAUAUGUACUCGUAAUCUAAAAUUUUCUAAAAAGAUAUAAAGAUGAAGUUCCCUAUUGUAGCAUAUAUCUUACUUUCUUACUAAAUCUAAAAAGGACAUGCAUCUUCCUUUUUGCAACGGAAGCACGAUAGGAUUAAAAAGACUUUGUUUCUAUAUAGAAUAAUAGACACAUACACCGUAUCGCAUGCAAGUUUUUAAAGAAUUUCUUUUGUGAUUAAUCUACAUGGGAAGAUUUUAAUAUUUUCUAUCUAUACGAUAUAUAUCUAUAUCGCAUAGACAAUGAUGUUAAUAUGAGAGGAAAAGUAGUGGCUGUAGAAAAACUAUACUGUUUAUAUGAGAUGUUUGUGCCACAUGGUACAAUCAAAAUCUUUUUUAUUAAUAAUUCAGCAAGUUAUAUGUAAAUAAUGAUGUUUUAAUUGCUAUUAUUUAUAUCUUUUUUAUUAGGAUGAAAAAUACAUGUAUAUACAUACUAUAUUUGUGAACACAUAUUAGGAAUUUGCACCUUCAAAGAAUCAUGUUAAUCCUUUUUAUAAAGGAAUUUUUUCCUUGUUUCUUUUUUUGAGGAUGAGGAAGAGAUGUUGUUCCUUUAUUAUGUGAUUGUUUUUUUUUCUUUCUAAGUCGAAAGAGUAUUUUCUUUAUAGACUUUCAAUGGACAUCAAAUGGAUCUUUUUCUUUUUCUUUGCAUGGGUGGAAUAUCUAUGGAAGGAAGCAAUCCUUUUUAUAUAAUUAACCCAUUGAUGAUUUUUUUCUUUUCUCUCACUAACAUUACGUGUAUGUGUUUUUUUUGCCGUGCCAUAUAUAUGUUACAUAUAAGUUUCAGCUGCGAGGAGUCAUGAGAGAAAUAUUUUUCCUUUUUUGUGUGACUGUUUAUUUUUCUUUUCAAUCGGGAAAAAGGAAGAUUUUACCGAUGGACUUUAAAGCGUAAUCAAACAGAUCUGAUUUUUUUUCUCAUCGCUGUAGUUUUUAUGGAAGGAGAUUAUCCCUUAUUUAGUAAACCGUGGACUCUUUCCUUGUUUUAUUUCACCAAAGUUGUACGUCAGAUUUGUUCCUUUUUUAUCGUUGGAGUUUUUAGCGAAGGAGAUUAUCCUUUUUUGAGGGAAACGUGGACUCUUUCCUUUUUUUCCUUUUCAGCGCCCAUUUUUUAUGGAAGGAGCCUAUCUUUUUUUAUGGAACAGUGGCUGAUUUUUUGUUUUCUUUCACCAAUGUUAAACGCGUCGGAUGAACUUUUUGGACCAUCUGUGUUACGUACAUUUUUAUUUUAUCUUAGACGUAAAUUCUACAAUCCAACGGUGUAAAUAAUUUUGAAGAUGUGGAUUAAUGAAAAGGCUUGAAAGGUGCCUCCAAUUAUAAGAUAUAUAAGAUGUCUUGUGCACACAUGAAGGCGCCCUUUCUUUGUUCAGUGUUUCGGGUUACAAGAAGGCAUAGUCGAUGGUAUUACAUAGAGUCACGCUAGCCUGCGACUCUAUCAGACAGAGACGCACGUGCGUUUAGUGUUAAGGGUCACAGGCAUGAGCAUAAAAUGCUCAAAGGCAUGGUUGGUGGUAUUACAGACAUGAACUCUUGUUAAUAAAAGUUCACAAGAUAUGAACUCUCUACGAACACAAUUGCGUACUCAGUUGGGUCACGCUUUUUUCUUGAUGUUACGUAUAUUAUUCGAUAGAAGCGCGGAGGUUUGGAUACUAAUGGUUACAGUGUUAAGGUUCACAGGCACGGGCGUACAGUCCUCAAAGGCAUGAUAUUGUAUUAUAUAGAGUGACGCUCGCCUGUCUUUGUGUUCCGAAUGAUUCCGUCCACUCAAUCAGAUGAAGAAGCACGGUCGUUAAGCCCACUAAGGCAAAGCUUUGUCUUACACACAGCCACGUUUACUUUGUGAGGCACGGAAUGACUUAUUCGAGAGACGUUGGUCUGGUGUAUUGCUUGCACGGUCGUGAGUCCCAGAAAGUCACGGCUUGCCAUUGUGUAGAAUCAUGUUAGUUUGUCUACGUGUUACAAAUGAAUCCGUUGAACUGUCCGCGAGCACAGGCACUGCCAUGAAGCCCGGACAUGCAUGGGUUAUGCUUUACAUGGGAUCACGUUCGUGCGUUUAUAGCGGAAACCCGCAGCAACCGCCUCAUCCUUGAUUCAGUGUUCCAGGUCACAGGCACGGGAAUGAAGCGCUCAAAGACAUGGCCGGUGGUAUUACAUAGAGUCACGCUAGACUGCGACUCUAUCAGAGGAAGAUGCACGUGCGUUUAGCCCAUGGAGAUGAACCUUUGACCCACAGCCACGGACGUUUACUCUGCGAGGCACAGAUUGGCCUAUAAGAGAGACGCUGUUUUUAAAAGCUUAUUUCCUUGUAUUUAAGAGCACGGACCUGCAGUCCAUACAGACACCGUUCCGAACUGAACUGUGUCACGCUUCUUACUUGAUAAAGGCGUUGACGUUCGUGGCUGUCUGUGUUUCAGUGUCAAGGGUCACAAGCACAGGCAUACAGCCCUCAAAGGCAUGGUGUGCUAUUAUAUAGAGUCACGCACAAGGGUUUUCUGAUUGUAUUCAGAAUGAGUCGGUGGUCUCGGUCAAAAGGAGAAGCAUGGACAUCAAGCCCUCGGAGGCAUAGUUUGUUCUUACUCGGAGUCACGUUUAUGCGUUUAUUACAGAAACCUAAUAGGUUCGGGCGACUGUCCUUGUUAGAAUUGUUUUCAUUGCAUGACAUUCGUGCCUUUAUUGGGGAAACCCAACGCUUCGACGGGCGUCUCCUCAGAUUCGGCUGUGAAUGCCACAUGCUGUUGCUCAGUAAACCCAGUCGUCCGAUGGGCGUCUCCUCAAUAAAUAGUGUUGGUACCCUAGCUAAUAACAACAUAUAUCAACAUUGGUCCUAGUUGCAGCUUCACAGGACCACUUAUGCCACACAUGGAGCACAGCCUCGGUGCAUGCUUUUUUCGUGUGUCUGUGUCUGGAUAGAUGUCUCAAGGAAAUGCAAAGUGGUUCGGCCAAACACACUACAUCAGCCGAAUUGGUUCGAAUACCCGUGAGGCAGUUGGAAAUGCCAAUUUUUUUUCUAUGGGUACCGACACGUAGGGUCCCCUCAUCAUCCACACAAAUGCGCCACCACAUGUACCACAUUUUUCUAAGUGCACCUAGUACUCCACAUCAUUUUCAACUUCUUCCUCCCCUUCUCGACUAGCACUGCCGCCGCCAUCUCCCGACGACGCAUCUCUUCGCCGCCUGAUCUGCCGGCCGCCACCAACUCUGGCAAGUAGGUGAGAUCUCCCCUCACCCCCCUCGCGAAUCUUCUUCCCUUCCUAAACCGCAUGCAUCUCCCUCCGGGCGCAGAUCUAAUCCAGAAAUUUUAUUUGAUCCAUGCGGUAGAUGAUUUGUUGAUAGAUAUGAUGGUUCUUUGUUAGAUUGAUGGAUGUCGUAGUGUAGGAUCUGAGCCGUAAGAGGGAAAAGAGAGAAAGCACCGUGUAUUGUACUAUGGUAGCAUACAAUUCAACUUAGAGUUCAAUAUGUUCUUUGUAGAAUGGAGGAAGUAUCGUGUCGACUAUGCAAGUCACGGUGCCGGACCAGCCUUUGUACUGCCACGCUGUUCGGCAUCUACUUCCACCCUACUUUUGUUUUUGCAGCGGUAACAAUUUAUAUGAACCUUCCGAUAGUUCAUUAAUUUUGUUUUUUUAUUGCUAUUUCCACUAAUGCAUUGUGUUUGUUAUUUGUUUUUAUGUUGCACAGAUCGUCCCAUGCAAUGUGAGAUUGGCAUUCAAUGAGCUCGUCGGAGACACCGUGACCUUCGACGCUCUUGGGGGGCGUACACUAUGCAGGUCGAUAAGGGGCGAACGAUAACCCAGAUUGGAGGAGAUGAAUGGGAUCGCUUCAUCGCCCGCUUGCGUCUUAGUGGGGGUGAAUUGACCAGCUUCUCCUUCAGAGCAGAAAGGCCCAAGAUUUCUGUUAUCUAUCUGAAUUUGAUUUUCGAUAGUGAGGAUGAAGUUCAUGAGGAGGACGAUGGUGAGGAUUCAGAUGAUGAUGAGAACCCACUUGAUUAAGCACUCUAUGCCCAAAGACUGAGGCUGAGCGGCGAUGAAACGUGCAACCUCUGGGACAUGCUUCCGCUACGUGAAGACUACGUCGGGAUGCCAUCCGUGACACGCCUCACAAGGACUAAUGUUAAAUAGCAUCUCAUGGUAUGUUACUUAUUGUGGUAAUUACACGAUAUGCAUGCUUAAUAAGUGUACUAGUUGAUAUGAUAUGCAUGUUGUAGUACUGUGAUAUAUCCUUAUGUAGUGUAGUAAUAUGCAAUGAUGUGGUUAGUGUACGUAGUAAACUAAUGAUAUGCUUAAUUAUUGUAGUAAUUUGAUGAUUAGCGUCUAGUGUAGUGAUGUAAUGAUAUAUAUGCUCAGUGUUGAAUCCAAUGAUAUAUGUGUCUUCAAGUGUAUGAUUUGCUGAUAAUUGCAUGUGACAUGCUCAUAUAUCAUACCAACUGUUUUCAGAAAUUACCUAAGAGGUUAUCUGUUAGUUGUGGCAUCGAGACGCAUGAAGAAGGCAUGGCUGCUGGACUGCGCCUUACCAGAACGGGCUCCAUCACCACCUAUGCCUACGCAGUGGACACGGACGGUUGCACUGUCUUCAACCGGGUGGGGUGGAAGAAGUUCCUUCAUGGCAAGAAUCUUCGGGUAGGUCAGGGCAUCCUACUCACUGUUGCGAACACCCGUCGCCGUGAAUUGAGGAUGAUGAUCACCAUCAACCUCAUUUAGAAAUGGCUGGGCCAUGUUUCGAUGUGAAAUGAACUUGAUAUGUUAGCUCUUUUUUCCAAGUACUUGCCGUGUAUUACCAUACCAAUCUAUCUAUAUAUAUCUAGGUUCAGUAAAUAGGCCGUGUAUCGCUGUGAAAUGAACUUGUUAUGUUUCGGGCUUGUUUUGCUGUUGCCCCAGCAGUUAAUUGAGACUUCCUUCAACUUGAAACUGUCUUGACUUGUUGUUGGAUGCUUGGUGUUGUUGCUUUAUUUGAGACUUCCAUCAAUCCUAUUGAUGAGAAGGCGAAGGCGAAGCUCGCCCUUCAGUAUGACACAUACGUUAUGACAAGCUCAAGCUGGACACAGGCACGGGCAUGAAGCGCUCAAAGGCAUGGUCGGUAGUAUUAUUACAUGGACUCACGCUAGCCCGUAACUCUAUCAUACGGAGAUGCACAGGCGUUUGGCCCACAGAGCCGAACCUCUGUCUUACGCAAAGGCAUCAUGUGGUAUUAUAUAGAGUCAUGUUCGCUUGUGUCUGUUUUCCAAAUGAUUCUGUUGACUCGUUUAGACAGAGAGGCUGGGGGUGAGAAGCCCAUCGAGGCAUACUUUAGUAUUAGAGAGAGUCACGUUCGUGCGUUUGUUGCGCAAACCAAACAGAACUGGGUUCUGAUAUGAACACUCGCCGUUUACUUUGUGAGGCAAUGAGUGGCAGAUUAGGGAGACACUGUUUUUGAACCUUUGUCUUACGCACAACCACAAGCGUUUUCUCUGUGAGGCAUGGAAUGGCCUAUGCGAGGGGCGUUGUUUUAAAAAUCUUAUUUCCUUGUAUUUAAAAGCACGGACAUGAACUCCCUACGGACACGGUUCCGUAUUAAGUUGCGUCAUCCUUCUUUCUUGAUGUUACAUAUAUUAUUCGAUAUAAAAGGCAUAGACGUUCGUGGCUAUCUAUAUUUGCUUGUAUUUAAAAGAUAGCGACGGCACGCUUUUAAACAAAGCACAAGCACAGUGGUUCCACGACAAGCACGUCUCAAUUUGUAGAAACGGCAGUGUCGUGAUUCUACGGGACACUAUGUUCUAGGCUGUGCACCAUGUUUCCACCCAAACGUUCACCACAGGGUCAUGGACAUACACAAAGGAAGUGCCGUGUUGUGAUAACAGACGCACAGUUUUACAGGUACGAGAGGCACGAGGAGGCAUGUAGAUUAACAUCACCACAAAUGAAACAUGCGCACGCAUACAGAGAGAUGCAUAAAAAGUGGACUACAAGAGAUAAACUAAGUUGGUAAUACUAAACGACCGAUGGUAUUAAUUAAUAAUGGAAAUUAACGACAGACAUACAAUAUUAGAGUCAAAUUCAUAGUAGAGCACACACAAUAAAUAGAAGUCCUGAUCAUGAUAGAUCGACUGGGUCACUGGAAACUCAAAAGUAGUAGUAGCUAGCACAAACAUAUAGAACUUGCCUCCAAGCAUGUGGGAUGUGGCUUGCAGCAAAUGAACGGAGAGCCAAGGCAAGGAUCUAAUCAAGGCGCCCGGGCUUGUGCCCUUGAUGGUCCAGAGGUUGAACGAGAAGUGGGGGCGGCGUCGGCGAGGUGGAUGUGCUCCUGAAUGAGCUUCACCAAAGUUUGCCUGUGGUCGAAGUAGGCCGCCAUGCUCGACUCGUGGACGGCGCUGCAGCUGUCCUCGUAAACAAUUUGUCCGUAGAUCUGGCUGAACUUGUCGAUGUCAUCAUGCAUGAUGAGGCGCUGCAUGGCGAGGGCGACCUCCAGGUGUUCCUCCGGCGGCGUGCCGACCUGGAGCUGCAGGGCCAUCAGCGCGCGAAAGAGAUCAUUCCCAUGGAGGCCGGCGAGCCGGGUCGUGGAAACCGAGGCGAAGGCUCGGUCUUUAUGGAGGUGACGCAUGGAAUGGAGGCGAGCAGUCAGGUCCUUCACCUUGCUAUUGGCGAAGCUGAACUUGUGAAUGAAGUCUUCCAGUGCACCCUUGAGCCAAGUGGCGAAGCUGGCAUCGAAGAAGGAACGCGCUGUGGCGGACAUCAGCAGCCCCUGGAGGCACUGCAGCGCGUUGGGCUACGGGUUGCUCUCCCUGACCACCUCGAUAAGACGUACGGUGGUCGCCUGAAUCGCCUCCAUCACCGAUCUCUCACCGUCUCGCUCUUGCUCUGAUGGCCAGAUACUUGGAUCGGAGUAUAAGAAGAUGGAUGGUGACACUUUUAAGCAAAGCACAAGCACAGCGGUUCCACGACAAGCACGUCUCGAUUCGCAGAAACAACACUGUCAUGUUUCUACAAGACACUAUGUUCUAGAGUGGGAAGCGUGUUUCCACCCAAAACGUUCACCACAGAGUCACGGACAUGCACAAAGGAAGUGCCGUGCAGUGAUAACAGACGCACAGUCUUACAGGUACAAGAGGCACGCCCGCUUCUGUAUUGUAAAAUACCUCAUCUAACGAGUUAUUUGGAGAGGCACGGCCGUAACAUCACACGUGACUGCAUAUUCCAGAUGAUUUUAGUCGCUCGCUCUAUUCACAAAAGGAAAUCCAAACAUACAAACGGUGCACAAAAACAUGAAAACUUGAUAGUUUUUUGAGCUUGUAAGUUGCUUCACGGCUGAAGAUCACAAAAACAAGUUCCUGACAACCUUACAGACAAUGGAUAAAGUACAAGCUCGAAGUCCAAACUGGAAAGCACGCAACAACACCUAUCUCUGACGUCCGGAUAACCGUUUUCAACAUCCACAGGUCAAUGGAUCCGGCAAAUCCAUGAUUGGACACUGGUUUGUCCAGAUGUGUACUUUUAAAUCUAAGUUCAUAUGCCUACAAUACCCUAGCAAUAUAAGACGAGCACGUCUAGAAGCCUUGUUGCCCCAUUGAAUCACCUCUUCUUGAUGUUCAUAAAAUCCUUCANNNNNNNNNNNNNNNNNNNNNNNNNNNNNNNNNNNNNNNNNNNNNNNNNNNNNNNNNNNNNNNNNNNNNNNNNNNNNNNNNNNNNNNNNNNNNNNNNNNNNNNNNNNNNNNNNNNNNNNNNNNNNNNNNNNNNNNNNNNNNNNNNNNNNNNNNNNNNNNNNNNNNNNNNNNNNNNNNNNNNNNNNNNNNNNNNNNNNNNNNNNNNNNNNNNNNNNNNNNNNNNNNNNNNNNNNNNNNNNNNNNNNNNCCUUUGCGUUCCGAACAAAGAACUUUGCAAAUUCAAUGUUUUUGUUGCAGUGUACAUAUUUUUCCAGCGUUACUGUCUUCAAGAGAAUGUCAUGCUGUUUCAGAAACACCCGGUGCUUGUGGAGCCACUUAUUUGUUACACCUUCCUCGCGACAUACUCCUCCCUGAAAAUGCGUGAAGAGUGAGAAUACUCGAGGAGUACAAAAGGAGGUAGAGGCCUCGAAUAUAGUACGCUGUGCAUUGUAUGUGCUUACAAUGUGUCUGGAAAUCGUUACCUCGAUAAACAGGUUCUCUAGGCUAGGAAAGCAUCGCAUCAAGGCAACAACCUUGUUCAAAUUUAAUGACAUGUGGAUAAGCAGGGUCUUCACAGAUUGAACUGCCAUUGUUAGGCUGACUACAGACAAAGCCUGCGACAAGCACAUAUCAUAAAAUUAGCUGGAUAAAAGGUCGCGUGACAUGAAACUUCGGCACUGCAAGGAAUGCAAGUAAAGAGUAUAGUGCAAAAGGUGAGAACCUCGAUAACUGUAGAGCCAAAAACAAUCUUGGAUUUAGGAAAUCCUUCAUAAAAAUUACCCAAACACUCAAGCUUAGGUGCAUGAAAGACAGUUAUCUGCAAGUGCCGGCUCUGAAUAUCGUGAAUCAAUCGUUUAAGUGAGGGCACAUCCUCAACAACGAGUUCACCAUUCUCACAAAGGAUACAUAUGACUUCAGCUUUGCCUGAGUUUAUUAUGAUUCAGUGGUCCAAGUUAUUGCAAACAAGCUGGAGCCACUCGAGGGCAGGGCAACCAUGGCUGAUUAUGCUUUGCAGUGAGACGUCUGAUAUAUCAACUUCCAAAAACGAAAGCCUCUUGAGGAGUAGAAGUUUAAAUGAUCAUGCAUACUUGUCAGGUAUCUGGCAAAGAGCAAAUGUGACGGUGUGCAGUGAGGAGGUAAACAACAGCGUGGAAGUCGACGGUGAGGGCGCAGACGAAGAGAUUUCGUGUGGUAGUGUGAUGGUUUUUCCAACAAAACCUGGGAACAUGUAAUAGAACUCAAGAACCUGGAGAUUCUUCAGUCUUGGGGGUCGAAGCCAGGCGUGAACUAUGGAGGGUCUGCAGUGGAGGUAGCACGCCAGAAUGCAGAGAUGAUGAACUGUGCCACCAUGACCGGAGAGGAUGGCUUCCGGAAGGCACGGACCAUCAACGUUAGGUUGAAAACUACACCGAGUUCCAAAAUAUCUAAUGCGAAUGACAUCCUUACUGGGGAGCAUGGACAAUACGUCUAUAUGAACUGUUUCUAGGGGCUUAAAGAGACGUGGGACAGGGAUCUCACUGCAGUCGAGAUUCAGAGGAGUGGUGUGCCAUAAAGGACGCCAUCGACGUGCGAGGAUUUGAGUGCGAACGCCUUCCUUAGUGGACAGACGGGAGAUCACUUCACCGAGGAUGGCAUCCGGGAGGUCGCUGAUGCGGUCGGGACCAGACUGCUCUUCUUGAUGCUCGGAUCCGGUAGGCGCAUCCUUGCCGCUUCCAGCCGCUACCGCAAAACCACUAGAGGAAGGCGUCGCCGGUGGCGCGAGCCUCGCCAUCUUGGUGCUCGGGGCACCAGAGUAGACCACCAUCUCCGUCUCCAUUGCUGGGAUCGUGCCGCCUGCGAGCGCUGCUAUCUGUGGCGUCGAUCUGGACAGACGGUGGAUCUGGAGAAAUGGAAUAGCCUGUCCAUCCAUGAAACGACUUAAAUACGGGUCCAGAUUAAUUACUUCUUCUAGUAUUUUUCUUUCUGACAGGAUGGCCCGGGUUAAGUACUACAUGUAGCAAGUCAAUGGUAGAUGGGUGCUUGAUACAUUAAAUAAAACCACGACUUUCAAGGUACGAAGGCAUGGGCUAGCACUCUCUGUAGCCACAGAUAUGUACGUUUGUGACUCUCUGUGUUUCAGUCACUAGGGCCACAGGCACAGGCGUCAAAUCCACAAAGGCAUCGUGUGCUAUUAUAUAGAGUCAUGUUCUCUUGUGUUUGUGUUCUGAAUGAUUCAGACGACUCGUUCAGAUGGAGAGGCACGGACGAGAAGCCCAUGGUAGCAUACUUUAGUAUUAGGCAGGGUCACAAUCAUGCGUUUAUUGCGCAUAGUCAAUGAUAUUACAUAGAGUCAUGCUCGCCUGUGAGACUCGACCAGACGGAGAUGCACGACCGUCUAGCCCACGGAACUGAACCUUUGUCUUACGCACAGCCAGGGGCGUUUACACUGUGUGGCACGGAAUUGCCUAUAUGAGAGAUGCUAAUUUUAAAAUCUCAUUUCCUUGAAUUUAAAAGCAUAGACGUUAAGUCCAUACAGACACGGUUCAGUACUGAGUUGCGUCAUGCUUCUUUCUUGAUAAAGACGUCGAUGUUCGUGGCUACCUGUGUUUCAGUGACAAGGGUCACAAGCACGGGCAUACAUCCCUUGAAGGCAUGGCGUGCUAUUAUAUAUAGUCACGCACAAAGGUUUUCUGAUCGUGUUCCGAAUGAGUCGGUGGACUCGGUCAAAAGGAGAGGCACGGACAUCCAGCAAACUGAGGCAUGGUUCGUUCCUACCCGGAGUGACGUUGGUGCGUUUAUUACGGAAACCUAGUAGAAUCGGGCGACUGUCCUUGUUACAAUUAUUUUCGUUGUAAGAUUUUUAACUCAAAUGCAUGAAAGGUGACUUUGUAUGUUUAGUAGCGUCAUGAUCCUUUACGCACGAAGACGACUUUUUGUGUGUCAGUGUUUCAGGUCACAGGAACGGUUGUUAAACUAAAAAACGCAUGACCUGUAAUUAUCCAGAGUUACCUUGGUGUCUCUUUGUGUUCCGAAUGCAUCCAUUGACUAUGUUACCAGGACAGGCUCGGUCGGGAUGACAAUGGAGGCAUGCUUGUGUUCUAUGCGGGGCCACGUUCGUCCGUUGAUUGUGGAAACACAAUGUUUCGGCGGGCGUCUCCACGUAUUCGGAUGUGAACGCCACAUGGCGCCGCCACAGAAACCCAAGGGUCCGACGGACGUCUCCUCCGGUGACACCGGUCUGGCUCGUCGCCAGAGGCCAGGCUUCGGCUAUUUAAGGCGGACAGACGGCGUCUCGAAACCCUAGCCACACCCUCCUCUUUCUUGGACUGUCCAGAUCCACGCCACAGAUAGUGGCGCUCGCAGGCGGCGCGAUCCCAGCAAUGGAGACGGAGAUGGAGGUCUACUCCUGUGCCCCGAACACCAAGAGGGCGAGGCUCGCGCGACCGGCGACGCCUUCCUCUGGUGGUUUGGCGGUAGCGGCUGGAAGCGGUGAGGGUGCGCCUACCGGAUCCGAGGAUCAAGAAGAUCAGUCUGGUCCCGACCGCAUCAGCGACCUACCGAACGGUGUCCUCGGUGAGGCCAUAUCCCGUCUGUCCACUAAGGAAGGCGCUCGCACUCAAAUCCUCGCACGUCGGUGGUGCCCUGUUUGGCGCGCCGCUCCUCUGAAUCUGGACUGCCGUGAGAUCCAUGUCCCACGUCUUUUUAACCCUCUAGAUCAAGUACAUUUCGAGUUGGUCACUGCGAACUCCGCCACACCGGAGGAACUCGUCCGCGUAACAUACACUGGAACAUUUUUUAGAGGAGAACAUGUCGGUGAAGAUAAUUCCUGUGAUGAUUCGUACCUUCCAGAGGCCAUCCUCUCCGGGCGUCAGAGUGCAGUUCGCCGCCUCUGCAUUCCGGCGUCCUACCUCGACUACAGGCACUCCACGGUCGACGACUGGCUUCGAUCCCCAAGACUGAACAAUCUCCAGGUUCUCGAGUUUUACUACCUGUUCCCACCAUGCUUGAGACAACAUGACAUAGGGCCAUUCUCAUGCCAUCACCACCAGCAUUAAACCCUCAGAUUUCCUCCUCUCUCCAAACCAUCGCCUUUGCUCUUUGCAAGUUACCAGACAAUUAUGUACGGGUGCUUAAACUACCACUGCUCAAGAGACUCUCGCUAGUAGAUGUUGAUGUAUCAGACGUCUCAUUACAAAGCAUCAUCAGCUCUACUUCUCCUACACUUGAGUCUCUGCUGCUUGUUUGGACAGUCAGGCACCAUUCCAUCAGAAUAAACUCACCUAACCUUAUAAGCAUCGGCAUUUCUGGUUACUAUGGUAAAAUUGUUAUAGAAGAUGCCUCGUCACUUCAACGGUUGCUUUGUGAUGGUGAUUGCAAAAAGUUGCGGGUAGUUAUCACCUCUGCACCUAAACUGCAGGUCAUGGGCAAAUUAUAUAAUAUUUUCUGUGAAUCCAGCAUCACAAAUGACCGUAUAAUUAUUCAGGUACUGACUUUCAACAAUACUUUCACCUCCAUUCAUUGGUACGAACAAGUUCCAUGCAAUUCAACCUUUACUCUACUAAUAUUAUGUUUUACUCUACAUGAAGUGUUUGCCGACAGUCAGCACAUCCACAACGGUUCAUUCUAUCAAGACGUUGUCUAUCAGCAUGGAUUAUGACCUGCAGGCAGUCUUUUCCUUGGUGGAACACUUCCGAAGCUUGGAAAACUUGUAUAUCGAGGUGAUGCUUCUCACACAGAUUGUAAAACACAUACCAUGCAUGGUGCAGAACUCCAUUCAACAAAAGGAAAACUUGUAUGUAAUGGACAAAGGUGUAUAUAGUCAUGGACGAGUAUUAGGACAAAACUAAAAAGAAAGCUUUUAUUACAACAUAGGUUAUAGACUUAUUCCUUCCAGCAGAAUCACUCUUUAUCGAGCUUAACCAUUUCAAAUAUUCAUGUUUAUUCAGGAAAUAGCCCCUAAUGAAGAAAGUCUUGUGAACGACUGUUCUUGCAAGCACCAUCAUGACGUUCGUUUGAAGUCACUGACGCUGGAAAGCUAUGUUCAAUGCGACAAAAGCAUUCGAUUUGCAACAUUCUUUAUUCUCAAUGCAGCAUAGCUGUAGACUAUGAGGAUCAAGUUUCUUCUUCAGGAACACUUCACGGAAGAAUUCUACAAACAGCAACAAGACGUGCUUCAGUGGGACAAAAAGGCUUCUAAACAUGCUUGCCUUAGGUUGUCACCAAGUUGCAACCAUGGGAACUUGGAUCUAAGGCACGCAUGUGUUGAGCACCUGGAUUUAAAGGGUCCAUUCAUUUGUAAGUGCUGAAAACAGUGCUGGAGUUAGAUGUUCCCGCCACUUUCCGGUUUUGGAAUUUGCGUAGGUGUGCUGAAACAAUGCCCGUACCUUUCUUGCUCAAUCUGUAACCUUACCAACAGUGAACUUGGUAUUUUGGUAGAUGGCUAAACAGUCUUUUGCUCAUGCCGUACAUUUCAUUAACUAAAAGGGCUUCAAGUCUCUGCAUCCACGACUAUGUACAUUUGUGACUUCCUAUGUUUCAGUGAUAAGGGUCACAGGAAAGGGCGUCAAAUCCGCAAAAGGCAUCGUGUGGUAUUAUAUAUAGUCAUGCUCGCUUGUGCUAGCGUUUGUGUUCCGAAUGAUUCAGUGAACCACGGUUUGCGAGCAAACACACAGAUGAUAAUGACUUCGUAGAAAAGUGAUUUGAGACGCACUGUUCUACCUGUCACACAGGCACGACCAUGGCAAACGCAUGGUUUGCCACGAACCACACAACGGCCGUGAAGUGAUACGACGGGACACAGGCACGCCCGUGAUUCCACAUGCUUCAGUAGCACGUAAAGACGUAAUUCUUUCCCAGGAAACGGUGGAAACCUACUGCCAAGCACUAUAUGCAUUUGUAAAACAGAAACACAAACACAACCAUGACCCGUUGUGUUUGAAAUCGUUGCAUCACAGAAGCAUCGCAAGCACGGUUAUGCACACAAGGUACGGUUAGGCACAGUGCAGGGACAUAAUUGCAGAUGUCACCGCUGUUGUGCGUUUUUUAAAACCACGGUCUUGCAAUCUUUCUAUUUUAGUGUUUCAGUAAUUAGGGUCAUAGCCACGUACGUCGAAUCCACAAAGGCAUCGUGUGUUAUUAAAUAGAGGCAUGUUCACUUGUGUUUGUGUUCCGAAUGAUUCAGUCGACUCGUUCAGACGGAGAAGCACGGACGAGCAGCCCAUGAAGGCAUACUUUAAUAUUAGGCAGGGUCACAAUCAUGCGUUUAUUGCGCAUGGUCGAUGGUAUUACACAGAGUCAUGCUCGCCUGCGAGACUCGAUCAGACGAAGAUGCACGGGCAUCUAGCCCACGGAACUGAACCUUUGUCUUACGCACAGCCACGCGCGUUUACUCUAUGAAGCACAUAAUUGCCUAUACGAGAGACACUGAUUUUAAAAGCUUAUUUCUUUGUAUUUAAAAGCACAGACAUGAAGUCCAUAGAGACACGGUUAUUUCUUGAUAAAGUCUCUGCAGCCACGGUUAUGUGCGUUUGUGACUUUCUGUAUUUUAGUGAUAAGGGUCGUAGACACAGGCAUCAAAUCCACAAAGGCAUCGCGUGGUAUUAUAUAGAGUCAUGUUCGCUUGUGUCUGUUUUCCUAAUGAUUCCGUCGACUCGUUUAGACGGAGAGGCACGAAAGAGAAGCCCAUGGAGGCAUACUUGAGUAUUUGGCAGAGUCACAUUCGUGCGCUUACUACAGAAACAUAACAGAAUUGGAUUCAGAUGUGAACCCUCACUGUUUACUUUGUGAGGGAAUCAAUGACCGAUCCAAGAGACACUGUCCUUAAAAGCACGGGCAAGAACUCUCUCCAACCACGGUUCUGUACCAAAGAGCCACUGUCAAACGCAUGAAAGUCAUGCAACGAGGGCCACACAUCUAGUACUAGAAAAAGCACUUUAUCAGCUGGCGUUGCUCCUUUUCUACGCGCACAGUAGGGUGGCUGUGAAAGGCACGUUAUACAAGCAGAGAACGAAAAUCACAAUGCCAUGAGAAGGUCAAAAGCAUGGUUGUGAGUCUGCAGUGUCACGGCUAGAAUCCUCGAGACGCAUUUCGGUGUGGCCUGUUGAGUAGAAACUCGAUUGUGCGGGAACCAGAAGCACUACAUAACGCCCCGCAAAAAAGGUUUGGUUCACCAUUGUGGUGGCUCUAUAUGCUUUCAGCUCUUUUCAUCUCGCCUGCUGAGUAAUAAAAAUACCUAAACAAGCAAAAUCUGUUAUGCUUACAUUUGCUUUGUUUCUACAACUGCACCAAAUAAACUUACAAGCCGCUUUUUAUAACCACAGUACGAGGACCAGAAACAGUGCAAGGCACCCAUCAGUGCAAGGCACCCAUCACCAUAUAUAAGACAUGCAACAUGCAAGUCAACCAUCAUGCAGCUCUAUCUGCAACACAGGCACGGUUGUACAUCCAUUGUGUGCAUGACAUGUACAUAUAUAAGACAGGCACCGUCAUACAUACAACACAACACGGUUACACAUGCAUCAUUUUAAAUCUACUUUAUGUCUCUUAACCUUGGUGCCACAGCAUUUUACGGUCCUUCGGCCAUACAAAGCCGCAAAACCACACAUUUCCUUCAUGACUGCACGCAACACAAAAACAAACAAGCCUACACACGGUGCAAAGACUACAAUGGUAGUCUGAUAAAGUUUACAUAAAACCCAAGCUCAAAAGAACGCAACAACAAAUAACUCCAUACAUCUGGACAACUAACACAAGGCCUGAUUUCAGCAUCCACACUGUGACGCCCCCGAUUCAAUCGUACACUAAUCAUGCACGCAAAUGUGUACGAUCAAGAUCAGGGACUCACGGGAAGAUAUCACAACACAACUCUACAAAUAAAAUAAGUCAUACAAGCAUCAUAAUACAAGCCAGGGGCCUCGAGGGCUCGAAUACAAGUGCUCGAUCAUAGACGAGUCAGCGGAAGCAACAAUAUCUGAGUACAGACAUAAGUUAAACAAGUUUGCCUUAAGAAGGCUAGCACAAACUGGGAUACAGAUCGAAAGAGGCGCAGGCCUCCUGCCUGGGAUCCUCCUAAACUACUCCAGGUCGUCAUCAGCGGGCAGCACGUAGUAGUAGGCACCUCCAGUGUAGUAGGGGUCGUCGUCGACGGUGGCGUCUGGCUCCUGGACUUCAGCAUCUGGUUGCGACAACCAGAAAGGAAGGAAAAGGGGAAAAAAGGGGGGAGAAAGCAACCGUGAGUACUCAUCCAAAGUACUCGCAAGCAAGGAACUAUACUACAUAUGCAUGGGUAUAUGUGUAAGGAGGCCAUAUCAGUGGACUGAACUGCAGAAUGCCAGAAUAAGAGGGGGAUAACUAAUCAUGUCGAAGACUACGCUUCUGGCAGCCUCCGUCUUGCAGCAUAUAGAAGAGAGUAGAUUGUAGUCCUCCAAGUAGCAUCCUCAAGUAGCAUCUCCAAGUAGCAUCUCCAAUCGCAUCGCAUAGCAUAAUCCUACCCGGCGAUCCUCUCCUCGUCGCCCUGUAGAAGAGCGAUCACCGGGUUGUCUGUGGAACUUGGAAGGGUGUGUUUUAUUAAGUAUCCGGUUCUAGUUGUCAUAAGGUCAAGGUACAACUCCAAGUCGUCCUGUUACCGAAGAUCACGGCUAUUCGAAUAGAUUAACUUCCCUGCAGGGGUGCACCACAUAACCCAACACGCUCGAUCCCAUUUGGCCGGACACACUUUCCUGGGUCAUGCCCGGCCUCGGAAGAUCAACACGUCGCAGCCCCACCUAGGCACAACAGAGAGGCCAGCACGCUGGUCUAAACCUAAGCGCGCAGGGGUCUGGGCCCAUCGCCCUGAGCACACCUGCACGUUGCGUACGCGGCCGGUGAGCAGACCUAGCAACCUCCAUUACAAGGGAAGUUGCGUUAACGCAGUCCAACCCGGCGCGCGCCGCUCCGUCGCUGACGUCUGAAGUGCUUCGGCUGAUACCACGACGUCGGGAUACCCAUAACUACUCCCACGUAGAUGGUUAGUGCGUAUAGGCUCGUAGCCAGACUCAGAUCAAAUACCAAGAUCUCGUUAAGCGUGUUAAGUAGCCGCGAACGCCGAACAGGGCCAGGCCCACCUGUCUCCUAGGUGGUCUCAACCUGCCCUGUCGCUCCGCCACAAAGUAAUAGUCGGGGGCCGUCGGGAACCCAGGCCCACCUCUACCGGGAUGGAGCCACCUGCCCCUUCAGCCCCCAACUCCGAACAGUAUCACAGGUAAUGUAACAGUGUAAAGUAUAUAGUAUAUGCCCGUGAUCACCUCCCGAAGUGAUCACAGCCCAGUAGUACAGCAUGGCAGACGGACAAGAGUGUAGGGCCACUGAUGGAACACUAGCAUCCUAUACUAAGCAUUUAGGGUUGCGGGUAAGGUAUCAAUGACUGUAGCAGCAAUGACAGGCUAUGCAUCAGAAUAGGAUUAACGGAAAGCAGUAACAUGCUACACUACUCUAAUGCAAGCAGUAUAGAGAAGAGUAGGCGAUAUCUGGUGAUCAAAGGGGGGGCUUGCCUGGUUGCUCAGACAAGGAGGGGUCGUCGGUGACGUAGUCGUACUCGGUGGCAUCAGCGUCGGUCUCGUAGUCUACCGGAGAUAAGAGGGGGAAGAAACAAUGAAUACAAUGCAAACAUAAACACGACGAUGCGUGACGUGACAAUGAGCGGUGCUAGGUGUGCCCUAACGUGGUAUGAGGUGGUACCGGUGAAGGGGGGAAAAACCCCCGGGAAAGUAUUCCCGGUGUUUCGUGUUUUCGGGCAGAGGAGCCGGAGGGGGAAAGUUGCGAGUUCGAUAGGUUAGGGGUGUGUGGCGGACGAACGGGUUGCGUAUCCGGAUUCGUCUCGUCGUUCUGAGCAACUUUCAUGUUGAAAAUAUUUUAAUCCGAGUUACGGAUUAAAAGAUAUGAUUUCUAAAAGAUUUUAACAAUUUUGGAAUUUAAUUAUUUAUUUAAUUAAUUCGAAAAAUGUAUUUAUGACGUCAGCAUGAUGUCAUGCUGACGUCAGCAGUCAACAGCGGUUGACUGAGUCAACCCUAACAGGUGGGUCCCGUUCGUCAUACUCUGUUAACUAAUUAACCUAAUUAAGUUUAAUUAACAGUAGUUAAUUAGGUUAAUUAGUUAUUAGGUUAAUUAAUCAGGAUUAAUUAGAUUAAUUAUUUACUUAAUUAAUUGAUUAAUUAAUUAAUUAAUUAGUUUUUAUUCAUUUUUUUAAUUUUUUUUAUAUAAAUCUCAUUUUCCUUUUCUUUUUAUUUAAAAGUUCUAUGGGGGGGUGGGGCCCCAUCUGUCAUUGUCACCGGGGGGUUCUUAGCGGGCGCGAGGGCAGUUGGGUGUGGGCGCUGGGCGCCGGGUUAACGGGCGAAGCCCGGCUGGGCACUCGAGCGGGUGCGGGGGCGCCGACGGUGCCGGCCAGGUGGCUGGAGCCACGCACGGGAGGCGGAACGGCGAGCGUGAGGGGAGGCGCGGGGUUGCCGAGCGCGUCGAGGACGACAACGCCCAGCGGCAGUUGCGGGCGGCGCCCGGUGCCGCAGUCCUGCGGGACUCAGAGGCGGGCGAGCACGGGGCUGCGCGAGCNNNNNNNNNNNNNNNNNNNNNNNNNNNNNNNNNNNNNNNNNNNNNNNNNNNNNNNNNNNNNNNNNNNNNNNNNNNNNNNNNNNNNNNNNNNNNNNNNNNNNNNNNNNNNNNNNNNNNNNNNNNNNNNNNNNNNNNNNNNNNNNNNNNNNNNNNNNNNNNNNNNNNNNNNNNNNNNNNNNNNNNNNNNNNNNNNNNNNNNNNNNNNNNNNNNNNNNNNNNNNNNNNNNNNNNNNNNNNNNNNNNNNNNNNNNNNNNNNNNNNNNNNNNNNNNNNNNNNNNNNNNNNNNNNNNNNNNNNNNNNNNNNNNNNNNNNNNNNNNNNNNNNNNNNNNNNNNNNNNNNNNNNNNNNNNNNNNNNNNNNNNNNNNNNNNNNNNNNNNNNNNNNNNNNNNNNNNNNNNNNNNNNNNNNNNNNNNNNNNNNNNNNNNNNNNNNNNNNNNNNNNNNNNNNNNNNNNNNNNNNNNNNNNNNNNNNNNNNNNNNNNNNNNNNNNNNNNNNNNNNNNNNNNNNNNNNNNNNNNNNNNNNNNNNNNNNNNNNNNNNNNNNNNNNNNNNNNNNNNNNNNNNNNNNNNNNNNNNNNNNNNNNNNNNNNNNNNNNNNNNNNNNNNNNNNNNNNNNNNNNNNNNNNNNNNNNNNNNNNNNNNNNNNNNNNNNNNNNNNNNNNNNNNNNNNNNNNNNNNNNNNNNNNNNNNNNNNNNNNNNNNNNNNNNNNNNNNNNNNNNNNNNNNNNNNNNNNNNNNNNNNNNNNNNNNNNNNNNNNNNNNNNNNNNNNNNNNNNNNNNNNNNNNNNNNNNNNNNNNNNNNNNNNNNNNNNNNNNNNNNNNNNNNNNNNNNNNNNNNNNNNNNNNNNNNNNNNNNGGCGACGGGAUCGGGGGUUGCCCCGAUCCAGAUCGGGGAAGGGCGAGAGGGAGGAGUGGGAGAGAAUGGGGGCGACGUGGGGGUGGGGUUAGGGUUUCGGGGUGGUAAUGGGGAGUGCGGGGGUGGGAUCCGGCCGGCUGGGCCUUUUGGCCUGAUGGCCUGCUGGCUAGCUGGGCCAUUCGGCCCAGGGGGAGGGGGGUUCUUCCUUUUUAUUUUUUUUUCUGUUUUGUUCCUUUUCCUUUUAUUUAUUUUCUUUUAUUGUUUUAAUUCAACUUAGGGCACAUAAGUAUUUUAUAAAUUUGUGUUUUCUUUAUUAUAAUUACCUAUGUAAUAUUUGGCACUAACCGAACAUUUUUGUUUCAAUAUUUGAAAUCUUUUAUUGUUUGCUUGAUUUUGAAUUUGAACGCGAAUCGGUUUCGAACUAUCGCGAGAUUAGCAACUAUAAUCGAGGUGACGUGGCAUCACUAGCAGAGGAUCACUGUAGCUUAAUUACCCGGGCGUCACACACACCUGAACGGAACCGUCAAAUCUAGGUAUUCAAGACUCCUCUUUCUUAAAUGCGGAUGCGUGUGGCUGCAACUUGAUGAUAAUCUAAGACGUGCACGCUUAGAAGCCCUUCUAUGCCACUCCAGAACCCUUUGUUGAUUUUCGUAAAAUACUCCCGUGAACUCUGCGGGAGGGGAGGUAAACUUAAUGGUCAUGGUCUCCAGAUCCUUUGCACUAAGAAUAAAGAACACCACAAAGUUAGCGUAACUCCCAGAGCGAACAUAAUCUUCCAGCGAUACUGUCUUCGGACAAACGUCGUGAUGUUUGAGAAACUCCCGGUACUUACGACGCCAUUUGUUUUUUUCACCACGAGAAAUCAACGAUCCCUAAAAUAUAAAUGAUAGGUUGAAAAUACUUAACGUCUACAAAAAGAGAUACAUACCAUCAAAAAACCAAAUGCAACAAUUAAUUCUACCACCUCCGUAACAAGAAGUUAGACAUAGACUUGUCUAUAUAUGGAUGUAUACAACAAUAAAUCAUGUGUAGGUACGGGAUCAUCAAUUUCAGUCAAAAUUAGGACAAGCAUUUCAAAAAGGAACGAGUACUAUAGAAUGCAAAUUUCUGAAGAUCAUCACCUCGACAAACAAGUUCUCCAGUUUUGGAAAGCAUUGCAGCAAAUCAACAACAAUGUCCACCUUAUAAUCAAUGUAUAUAAGCAAGGUCUUGACAGAUUGACGCAUUGUUGUUAGACUGACUGCCUUCAAACCCUUAAUGAAAAUUAACAGAAGAUGAAUCAAAAAACUAAUAGCAUAAAGGUUGGAUGAAAUAAAACUUGUUUCCUCACAAAUAAAGUUAAGCUGGAAGUAUCACAAAAACUCAAUACCUCAAGACACGCCAGACGACAUGGAUACGGUUCAGACGCAGAGACAAUGGUUACCUCCAAGUCCUGACUCUGCAUGAAGAAUACAACAAAGACCAUCAAAUUAAUAAAACAAACAUCGAAACAAGUACAACUCUGUUCCAGUAUUAAGGAAAGUCAGUACCUCAAGACACUUCGAGGGAGACACAAAAACGAAUUCACCCAACCUCUCCAGUUUAGGUGCAGAGACAAUGGUUAUCGAAUAUUCGUCAACGAGACAAUCAACAAUCAACCGUCGAAGCGAAGGGGCAUCCUCAACAACGAGUUCCCCGUGUGGACAACAAAUGCCAAUGCUUACAAGGUUAGACGAGUUUAUUGUGACACGACGACCUCCUCAAUUGCAAACAAGCAGGAGAGACUCAAGUGCAGGGCAACUAGUGUGGAUUAUGCUUUGCAGCGACAUGUCUGAUAUAUCAACAGCCACAAGCGAGAGUCUUUUCACUAGUGGUAGCUUAAGCGUCCCUACGUAAUUGUCUGCUAUUUGGCAAAGAGCAAAGCUGAGGGUGUGGAGAGAGGAGGAAAACCGAAACACGGACUCCGGUGCCGAGGGCGUAGUUGAAGUGCAUAGAUCCAAUAGAGUUACCUCUUGCGUCAGAAAUUCUGGGACGAGGUAAUAGAACUCAAGAACCUGGAUAUUGUUCAAAUUCCAGGAUCGGAGCCAGGCAUCAACGAUGGAGGGCCUGCACUAUAGGUAGCACGCCGGAAUAGAGAGGCGGCUAACCAAGCCAGCAUGGCCGGACAGAAUGGAUUUCGGAAGACUAACAACAGGAUUUCGACAGAGCCGCAUUCCGGAAUAGCAUUUGCGAACGGGCUCCUUGGUGAAGGCGCACAUAUGAGAUAUGGUCUCGAUAUGAACUUUUUCACCAUCGUCAAAAAGACGAGAGUUAGAGAUCUCGCGGCAGUCGAGAUUCAGAGGAGCGAUGGGCCACAAAGGACGCCAGCGACGUGCGAGGAUUCGAGUACGGAUGUCAUCCUUGAUGGGAAGACGAGAGAUGAUCUCACCUAGGACGCCGUCGGCGAGAUCGCUGAUGCGGUCCGCACGACAUCCCUCUUCUUCCUCAUCGGAUCGGGAGGGAGCACGGUCGCCGCUUCCAUCCCCUCCGAUGACCAGCACACCACCAGAAAGCGGCGUCGCCAGUGGCACCACUCUCGACCUCUUGAUGCCACGAGCAGUGCUUUCCAUUGAUAACCCACAAGUAUAGGGGAUCGCAACAGCUUUCGAGGGUAGAGUAUCAACCCAAAAUUAUUGAUUCGACACAAGGGGAGCCAAAGAAUAUUCUCAAGUAUUAGCAGUUGAGUUGUCAAUUCAACCACACCUGGAAACUUAGUAUCUGCAGCAAAGUGUUUAGUAGCAAAGUAAUAUGAUAGUGGUGGUAGCGGCAACAAAAGUAAAGACAGCAAAAGUAAUGUUUUUGGUAUUUUGUAGUGAUUGUAACAGUAGCAACGGGAAAGUAAAUAAGCGUAAACUAGUAUAUGGAAAGCUCGUAGGCAUUGGAUCAAUGAUGGAUAAUUAUGCCAGAUGCGGUUCAUCAUGUAUCAGUCAUAACAUAGGGUGACACAGAACUAGCUCCAAUUCAUCAAUGUAAUGUAGGCAUGUAUUCCGUAUAUAGUCAUACGUGCUUAUGGAAAAGAACUUGCAUGACAUGUUUUGUCCUACCCUCCCAUGGCAGCGGGGUCCUAUUGGAAACUAAGGGAUAUUAAGGCCUCCUUUUAAUAGAGAACCGGAACAAAGCAUUAGCACAUAGUGAAUACAUGAACUCCUCAAACUAUGGUCAUCAUCGGGAGUGGUCCCGAUUAUUGUCACUUCGGGGUUGCCGGAUCAUAACACAUAGUAGGUGACUAUAGACUUGCAAGAUAGGAUCAAGAACUCACAUAUAUUCAUGAAAACAUAAUAGGUUCACAUCUGAAAUCAUGGCACUCGGGCCCUAGUGACAAGCAUUAAGCAUAGCAAAGCCAUAGCAACAUCUAUCUCAAAACAUAGUGGAUACUAGGGAUCAAACCCUAACAAAACUAACUCGAUUACAU